GAUGGUCUUCCUGGGGGAGGCAGCAGAUCACGGGCAAGGAGCAAAGGGCCGGAGCUUUCCGUCCCCGUCCUACGGGAGGCAGCAGGCCUUCCAGCGGAUGAGGGAACUGCAACAGGCCGACCCCGGCCAUCUGCAUCGUCGUGGUGGUCGCGCCGACAUAGGGAGUGAAAUUGGGCAGAACGAUUCCUACGGGAGGCAGCAGUGGGGAAUAUUGGACAAUGGGGGAAAGCCUGAUCCAGCAAUGCCGCGUGUGUGAAGAAGGCCUUCGGGUUGUAAAGCACUUUUAUCAGGAACGAAAUCUGCAUGGUUAAUACCCGUGUAGUCAGACGGUACACGAGAAUAGC
RNAcentral lists this ribosomal RNA (344 nucleotides) under uncultured bacterium. RNAcentral's name for it is "bacterial SSU rRNA". The stretch from base 38 to 344 matches the Rfam family "Bacterial small subunit ribosomal RNA", at positions 1 to 491 of the family's 1533-position model. The record is from RNAcentral.